RNAcentral lists this transfer RNA (74 nucleotides) under marine sediment metagenome. Its description in RNAcentral is "tRNA-Val". It matches the Rfam family "tRNA". From Rfam's summary of the family: Transfer RNA (tRNA) molecules are approximately 80 nucleotides in length. The record is from RNAcentral.
GCCUGUAUAGCUCAGUGAUUUAGAGCGUCCGUUUUACAUGCGGAGGGCCGGUGGUUUGAAUCCAUCUACAGGCA